This is a long non-coding RNA of Loxodonta africana (African savanna elephant), 12571 nucleotides long. RefSeq lists it as uncharacterized. The transcript has 2 exons. The record is from RefSeq and is a predicted model, not a curated record. NCBI's taxonomy places the organism in Eukaryota, Metazoa, Chordata, Mammalia, Proboscidea, Elephantidae.
UAUAAUAAAAAAUUCUGUUAUUUUCUUAUAUAACAUGAGCAUUUUUCCAUUAUAUUAUAAACUUUGUAAACAUCAUCUGUUAACACUAUAUAAUAUUCUUCCCAGCAAAGAGAUUGUAAUUGACUUAAUAUAUUGCACAUUAUUUUUAUUUUUUUAAAUUUUUUGCCAUUAUAAAUAUCUUUGGCAUAAAGCUUUUUCAAGCAUCCCAGAAUUUAUCCAAAGUAAAAAAAAUUUUUUUUUUUUUUAAUUACUUACUAGAUGAAAGCAAAGAACUGACACUGUAACUGACUCUGACCUGUUGCCAUUGAGUUGAUUCUGACUCAUAGUGACUCCACAGGACAGAGUAGAACUGCCCUCUAGGGUUUCCAAGGCUGUAAUCUUUAGGGACACCAACUCUCACAUCUGUCUCCUGAGGAGCGGCUAGUGGAACUGAACACCAGGGCUCCUUAAGGCUCUGAAACCUACUGCCAAAUUGCUUUCCAAAGGGUGGUGUGUAUUUACACUCUCACCAGUAGUGCAUGAGGCCCUCCACAUUGUCACCCCCCACCGGCAAGAAUUAAUUGAAACCAAAAAUCACUACCAUCAGUAGCACAUCAGCGAUUUGAUAGGCAAGAAGUUUAAGCUCCAUAUGUUUGAUGGGAUUUUACACGUGUGUGUUAACACGUUUAUUUCCUCUUUGGUGAACUGUCUGUUCAUGUAUUUCACCUAUAUCAUUAUUGAGGUCUCAGUGCUUUUUAAAUCCGUUGCUGUUGAGUUGAUUCUGACUCAUAGCGACCCUACAGGACAGAGUAGAACUGCCCCAUAGGGUUUCCAAGGAGUGGCUGGUAGAUUCGAACUGCCAGUUUCGGGCUAUGGGGCAGUUCUAUUCUGUCCUAUAGGGCUGAUAUGAGUCGCAAUCGAGUUGACGGUAACGAGUGUGGUUUUUUGUUUUGUUUUGAAUGCUUGUUAUUAAUUCAUUGUAAGAACUCUUUUUUCUGUUGUGCACAUUUCCUUCAGUUUGUUUGCAGUUUUGGUAGACCAGCAUUUCCAAUUCUUCCAGUCCCUGCCCUUUCUCCUGCUCCACCUGGCCCUGGAGCAGUGGAGAGCUGGUCAGGGUGUUCUUUCCUCACUCCACACACUUUCCUUUGCUAUCUUCCUGACUUUGCGCCUGCAUCAUCGUCCACAGGGAGCUGCCUCCCUGGCCUGGAACACGCCUCUGGGCUUCAGUGCCCACCUGACAGCUUUGUCUGGAUGACUCAGCAGCACCUCGAACUUAACACGUUUAACCUGACACAUACCUUCCCCCCGUCCGCCGCUCUUCUGUAAAUGACACCACCAUCUACCUGGCUGCCCCACCAGAAGCUGGACAACAUCGUUGAUGCUCCCUAAUCAACCUUUACAAGUAUCCUGCCGGUCUGCUUCCUACCUGUCUCUAGAUCUGCUCUUUUCUCCAUCCUUACUGUAUGUAGUUAAAAAAACAAAAACAGAAACAAAAAAAACCCAGACCAGUCGCCAUUGAGUCAGUAUCAACUCGUGGAAGCCCCAUGUGUGUUGGAGCAGAACUGUGCUCUGUAGGGAUUUUACCGGCUGAUUUUUCAGAAGUAGGUGGCCCAGCUGUUCUUCUGGGUGGACUCAAACCUCCAACUUUUCAGUUAGUAGCCAAGUUUGUUAACGGCUGGCACCAGCCAGGGCUCCUCCACUGUCACUGCUCCUGUGGAAUUCUCUCUUGGAUUACUCAGUCUUUUCCCCAAAAACUUUCUUCAUAAAAUAUUUUUAAACAUGUAAAAGUGCAGAAAAUGUUAUCACAUACACCUAUGCGUCUACUACUCAAGUUUUAUAAAUGCUAACAUUAGCCUUUUGUAUCCAUCAAAUUAAAAAGAAAAUUAGCAUACUGUAGAAUUGAAACCCUCUUUACAACUCACUAAAUCCUGUCAUUCUUUUUCUCUCUCUCCGGGUAACUAACCACUAUUCUAAAGCUUGCAUGUAUCCUCAGGUCUACUUCUAGUGCUUUUGCUGCAUACAUAUAAGCCUGAAAAUAUAUAGCAUUUUGUGUUUAAAGUUUUAUAUAGUGGCACCAAAUGCCACAUCUGCCUGCAGCUUGCUUUUUUCACUUAUAUUUUACAUUUUCACUUAUAUUUUGAGGCUUAGCUCCGUUAGUACAGGUGGCUCCAGUUUAUUUUAAUUGCUGUAUAGAUUCCAUGGUCUGAACAUUCCAUGAUUCACUGAUUUGUCUCCCUAUUGGUGGACAGUUAGACUAUUUCCGUUUGGGGUGUGUGUGCAUUAUAAACCAUGCUUUCGCAAACCUCUUAACACACAUCUCCCUGGGCUGGUAUGUGAGUUCCACCAGCAAGUCCCAAGGAGCAGAGCUGCUGGGUGGACACGCCCUCAACAUGAUCAGACUCUGCUGUGUUGUCCUCCUGCUGCGUUUGAGGGGUGCUUUCCACUUCUCACCAACAAGGCACUGCUUCCUGCUGCUGCUGACUCGAUGGGUGUGAAUCACAGUUGACUGUGGUUUUAACUUCCACUUUCCUGUUUACCAGACAGACUGAGCAUCUCCUCUGUUUAUCUUUGUUUUGUUUCCCUGUUCUGCAAAUUCCCUAUUCUGUCAAUUGCCUAUUCACGUCCUUAGCCCUGACAAUAUAGUUUGUUGCCCUUUCCAAUUCAUUCUCCAUCCUUAGAGAGCCAUCUUCUAGAAAUGGAAGCUCUAGCCAGGCACCCUCCCUGUUAAAUAAUCCCUCGAUGUUUCAAAGCCUCAAAUUCAUUACACAGCCUCUUGCUUGAUCUGGCUCCUGCCUUCCCUGUUCAGCCUCCUUUCGGGCCACACAUCUUUUACACAUCUGGAUUCCAGAGAGACACUGCCUCAAAUGUGCCAGGCUCUUUGCUGCUUUAAGGCCUUGAGGCACAGUUUUCUCUACUUGUGCCCCGCGUCCCCUCCUGGACUCCAGUAAUUUUCAAGUCCCACCUAAAUGCCCCUUCUUCAGGGAAGCCAACUCCUUGGCCUGGGCACUGUGCUCCCAGCAGUCUCCCUGCUUCAAGCCCUCAUUCUCCCUCUAGCCCUGGCUCUAGGUCUUUGUCCCUAGGACCCCAUUCACCUUGUGUCCAGCUCUAUCUCCAGUGCUUGGCAAUGUCAGGUGCAUGAAUGUCGACUGAGGAAGACAAUGAGGGUCUGAGAGUUCACAUGACUGGCAUAAGGCCACACGACUGGCUUAUGCCACAUGACAGCUCCACAGGGUUGAAUAAAAGAAGAUGCCUCUGGACCAGGGUCCUCUCCUUUCUGAGUGGGGUGAGGAGGAGGCCAAGCAGACAGAGAGCCCAGGUGCCCACACUCACUUCAAUCCUUAAAAAAAAAAAGCAAUCCCACCUUUCAUCUGCUUUAUAUAAUGGAGUUUUGUGUAAGGUUUUGUUUGGAGAAAGUGUUGUUGCUAAGAGUUUUUUGGAAACCACUGUUUCGGGGCAAGAUUGGCUGCCGACACCCUUCUGUUCACUGUAUGCUUCCAGCCAGUGACACAGUUUACUGAGGGACAGGUUCUUCCUGGUGCAGCUUUGUGUUCUACAGCCCAACGUCUGCCGAACAAGUGGACCUGGAGUUGAGGGUGGUUGUCUCCACUGCGCAGAGGAAAGUGAGCUCAUGGAGAUUCUGGAAGGGUCCUCCUUUGUCUUCAGAAUAUCGCUUCCUCCAAGUAGAGCAUAGACAGGGCAGGAGUAAGGCAUGGGACACAGCUUCAGCUGACAACAGGAAGCAUUGGGAAGAGAGUAUCUUAGCAAACAUGUGAUAUGGCUGUGAGCAAUGAGGAUGGUGUUUACUUGCAUUGAGGAGGAGGGAGAGGAUGGAGUCCAGAGCAAACUCCUGAUGCUCCUGUUUACUGGGUGUUCCCCAUAUCCCAGGCAUCGUGCUGGGUGCUUGUCGCUCAUUAUCGAUAUAUUCUUGCAACCAAUCAAAAAGUGGGCUUUAAGAUUAGGAAGGAGUGACUGGGUGGUAGGAGCCCUGGUGGCGCAGUGCUUAAGAGCUCUGGUGCUAACCAAAAGGUUGGCAAUUCGAGUCCACCAGCCUCGGUGGUGCAAAUGGUUGACUUGCUCACCUGCUAAACAAUUUAUCUGUGGAAGGCCCUCCCUACUGUCUUCUGCUUUCUCCCCUUUUUUUUUUUUCACCUUUAAGGCCUUUCCCCCAAUAACUAUCCUGCAUGUCUAACCCAUCUCAAUGUCUAUUUCUUGGAGGUCCUGAAUCCACACACGUGGUAACGGCAGUGGUCCAAGAAAACAAGAUGGGGUUGAGGACUGGGUGACUCACCACCCAGGGAGCAAAGAGGGCACUAUCCUGAGUGAGAUGCUCUGGGACAUGAUUGCUCAUGGUGGUAGACCUAUUGCUGAAGAUUUCACCAGCAGUGGUCGGGGAAGAAUGUCCUGGUGGUGGAGAAUACCCUUAUAGAAGCGAUGCCUUAGGCAGUUGAGAGAUAAGGGAAGCACAAUGCCUACAAGGACAGUGGAGUUCACUGGUUACUGCUCAGCUGUUUCGACACCUUGCAGAGUGAUAAUAGAAACACGGGCCCUCACUGCUGGUGGUCUGGAAAGACAACAGCGAUCUCUGACCUCAUUAGCCAAGGUGCCAUUAGAUAACCAAAUAGCUUUAGAUUUUUUAUUAGUCCAAGAAGGUGAAGUCUGUGCCAUAGCAAAUACCUCUUGUUGCAUUUGAAUAGAUAACACAGGAGAAGUAGAACAGGAUAUACACAGAAUAGACAGCAAGCUACUUGGUUACACACUGUUAACACCCUUACAAACACUAGAUUUAUUUGGUUGGUUUCCAUCAGGAAUAAGUAUAUGGGCCAGAUCACUAUCACAAGGAGUAGUAAUAUUCUUAAUCUGCAUCCUGAUGGUGUUAAAAACCAAAAACCCAUUGCCCUCUGUCAAUUCCAACUCAUAGUGACCCUGUAGGACCGAGUAGAACUGCUCCAUGAGGUUUCCAAGGAGCAGCUGGUGGAUUCAAACUACUGACCUUUUGAUUAGCAGCUGAGCUCUUAACCACUGGGCCACCAGGGCUCCCUUAUAGUGUUAGGCAUCAUAAAACUUAUCUUCCAUUGUCUUACAUGCUUAAAAUGCAGAAGAAGACCUCAGGUUAAAAUCUUGAUGUACAUUGAGUCUGCUCAUAUCGGCAAUGCAAUUGAUGAGAAUGUUGCUCUUACUUAAGAUCCUGGUGAAGAACCAGAUGAUAUCUGGUGGAAAACCAGCAAUGUCAGUUUAAAGAGCCUGCCGUGGCUGCCAUCUAGGAGCCCGAUGUGUUAUCUCCAAUCUCUGAUCAAAAGGAGGGAAUGGUUUAAGAGACAAUAUUGGACCCAUUAUUCCUUGUCCUUAAGCAUAAAAAAUGUGACCCAGCUGGAGCUGGACUCACAAGAACCCACAAUGAUUCACAAGGACACAUCAACUGGACCCCGAGGUAAAAAGACAAGACCCUGAGGUAAAAAGACAAUAGCUAGGACAAUCUUGAAAAACAUCUUUGAAGAAGCUUUCACAUAAACUAAUCAUAAACAGCACGAAAGAUCCACAUACUUUCCACUCUUAUCUUUUUUAUUAGCAUUUAGUGAACAGUAAGAUUUGUUGGCCCAGUGAAGACUCUCCUUACUGUCGUUACUGAAACCUGUACCAAUGAUUAUUAAGAAAGACAAUUCAAAAUGUAGACUCACAGUGAUUUGGCAGUUUUUAGCCAACCUGGAAAAAGGUGAAUCUUUCAAUGGCUUUGCUCAUUUGUAAUGUUAAUAUAUACUGAUAUUUCUAUAAUAUUCCUUGGACUUGGACAGACAUGGCUCUGGCAGCAUGCUUGUCCAUUUCCUACUUUUGCCUCUUUGAACGUAUGCUGAAUGAAACCUUUUUUUUGCUUUGCUGUAUGUAUAGGCUCUUAAUGAGAUGUUAAAGCUAGGUGUAAAGCUAGAGCUUCUUUGGUAGCUUACAAAGAGGUCUUCGUUUCCUGAAGUAGAGGAGCUGACACGGCUGAACGGUGGACUGAGGACCUGAUAGACUCACAGAGCUCCAGAGAUGUCAAAUGCUCAGCCAAGGCAGGUCGGUUCUGCUAAGCUCUGCCCAUUGCUCUCGUUGGGAAAACAUGGCCCACAAACAUGAAUGGGGACAUCUGAAUGGACAUUCCUGAGGUCAUUGCCUCUGCAGAUCCCCCGAAUUCUGAAAGCUUGCAGUCGUGGCCCACCCUUCCCAGGUAAGAUCUAGAGUGUCACUUGUGCUGAAAGACACAGCAGACACCUCUCUCCUGAAAGACAGCAUGGGCCCCCUCAGGAGCUGCCCUAACCUCUACUCUUGGCUGCUAGGCUGACAAACCAAAACCAAAAACCAAAAAGAGAAACCCACCAAACCAGUUGCCGUCAAGUUGAUUCUGACACCCUGGAGUGGCACAAACAGAUGGUAAAGGAGGGACUGAAGAGACUGAGGAGAGUGGUCAUGUUGGAAAGCAUAUCUUAUGUGAAGCCAGAAGGCCCACCAGAGGAUUAUGUCCCAUGAACGGGCCAGAAGUUGUGUCAAGGCCAUCAGGAAUGCACUUGUGAUGCACCAGCACCAUUAGGAAGUUCAGUGGUGGCUUUUCUCUGUAGCCCAGGGGUGACGGUAGAAGACAUGGUCACAGACCUGGGCUCCUUGAUAUUCAUGCCCCAUCCCCACAAAGCAAUGGAGUCUGGGUGGCAGCACUUAACCACCAGGAACAAGGAGACUGCAGUUACCAUAGUGACCAGCACCCUGGGAGGGGCAGCCAAGCAGGCUUGGCCAGCAUGGAGCUGUGGAGAUAUUAGAGCAUGGUGGUCCUAGAAGCAAAAUAACCCAGAAGACAAUAGGAGUGCUACUUAACAUCUACAACCAGAAAAAGGCAAACUGGAGGAACAGAAAGCUAAGGGCAGUGGCCCAAAUAAAAAUUUAUGAUCUUUUUCUCAGUUCCUGGUCCACAGCCUAUUUUCAGAUCUGAAAUCCAUUAACUGAGGAGAUGGCCACAUCCCUAGGAAGAAGGAUCCUGCAACAUGACCGCAAAUAUACACCGUAAUUCCCCCAGUCCUUGCCUGAAGGGAACUAUGGCCGUUUGCUUAGGUGACUGUACACUAGGAAAGGACACUAUGCAGACAUUCUAAGGACUAUUGGACAUAAAGUCUAAAGUGACGUUGAUACCAAUGACCCAAAGUGUCAUCCUGUUAGAGAGGUAAUAAAUGAGUCCUGGCUAAUGUCUAGGCUUACAGGGUCCAUGGAUCUACCCAGUAACCAUUUCCACAGUCCUCGAGUGUAAAAUUGGAACUGAUAUUCUUGGCAGUUGUAGUAACCCCUGUAUUGGGUCCUUGGCCUGUGGGACCUCCCCUUCCCCACUCCCUGCCAAGAAAGUAAAUAAAAAACAAUUUUGAAUCCCGGAGGAAAUGGUGGAGAUCAGUAACACUAUUAAAGACCUACAGAAUGCAAAGGUGUGCUCCCUACAAUAUCGCCAUUUAAUUCACCAGUCUGGCCUCUGUAGAAACCAGAUGGGUCCUGAAAAAUGACUGUAGACUACUGCAAACUCAAACAUAUCAUAGCCCUGAUUUCCCCUGUUGUAUCAGAUACAAUAUUGUUGUUAAUAAGGCCUCAAGUACAUGGUAGGUAUCCAUUGAGUUGGCAAAUGUAUUUUUUUCUGUUCUGAUUGGAAAAGGAGGAUCAGAAACAAUUUGCAGUCAUACUGGAUGGAUAGCAUAUUCAUUUACAGUUUUGCCUCAGGGCUGUGUUAAUUCUACUGCCUUCUGUCAUGAUCUAGUCCAAAGAGAUCUUAACAGCCUAUACAUCACACAGAACAUCACGCUGACCCAUUACGUUACUAUCAUGCUGAUCAGAUAGGAAGAGCAAGAGGUGACUAGAAAGCGGAGGUCUUAGUAAGAUAUACUACGCCCACCUGAAGGAAAUAAACCCUAUGAAGAUUCAGGGACUGACCACUUCAGUGAAGCUUUCAGAGGUUCAAUGGUCAGAGACAUGCCAAAAUAUCUCCUUCAAAAUAAAAAAAUAAGUUGCUGUGUCUUGCAUCAUUGACCAUAAAGAAGAAAACACAGUGCCUGAUAGGCCUCUUUGUGUUCUGAAGGCAACACAUCCCACGCCUAGGAAUACUCCUCCAGCCCCCCCUACCAGGUGACAUGAAAGGCUGUCACCUUUGAGUGGGGUUAGGAGCAGGAAAGAGCUCUGGUCCAGGCUGCUGUAAAAGCAACACUUGAGAUAGUAAGAUCCAUCAGACCCUAUGGUGUUGAAGGUGUCAGUGGUAAAAAUGAUGCAGGGUAGAGCUUAUGGCGAGCCCCACAGAAGCACAACAGAGACCCCUGGACUUUGGAAUAAGGCCAUGCUAUCUACAGCAGAGAAUUAUAUUCCUUUUGGGAAAUAAUUCCUGGCAUGUCACUGGACCUUGAUCAUGGGGCAACAAGUGACCACACAUCUAGAAUGGCCCAUCAGGAGCUAGGUUGUGUCAGACCUGUCAAGUCUUAAUUCACUUUAAGAUGGAUAUGGUGCAUCCAGGAUCAAGUCCAAGCAGAGCCAGAGGACAUGAACAAGUAGCCCAAACCCCAUGUCACGACUAGUUCAUACCUAUGGCUCUUGGUGGGGGGUUCCUAUAUAACCAGUGAAGGAAGAGGAUAAAAUCCAAGCUUGGUUUAUGGAUGGAUCAGCUAGGUAUGUGGGUGCAAGUUGAAAAUGUAUGGGGGUUACAUUAUAGCUACUCUCAGGGUUGGUCUUGAAAGACAGCGGAGAGAAAAAUCUUCCCAAUGGUGGAACUGGGAGCAGUGCAUCUGGUCAUCACUGUGAGUGGAAGGAGUGGUCCAAGGUGAAGAUACAUACAGAUUCCUGGGCUGUGGCCAAUCGUCUGACUGGAAGGUGGGAGACAAGGAGGUCUGGGAUAGAGUCAUAGGAUGGACUUAUGGGGUUGGGCAUGAAGUAUAAAAAUAUUUGCAACACACAUGAUGUCUGCCAGAAAGUACACACUAUUAAAGAGGCAUUGAACAACCAAGUAGACAAAAUGACUUGGCCAGUUAACAUUAGCCACACUCUGUUGUUGGCCCCCUAGAACUGGUAUGAUGGGCACAUGAGUGGGGUGGCCAUGAUGGUGGUGACAGACGUUUGAUAUGUGCCUAACAUGGACUCUCACUAGGGUUAAUCUAGCUACUACUGUCUCUGACUUUCCAUCCUGCCUGCUACAGAGACCAACGCAGAGCCUCUGAUACAGUACAAUUCCCAGAGAACAACAACUGACUUCUUGGUAGCAAUUCAACAACAUUUGGUUUGUUCUGUUCUGGAAGGGCCAAUGGUUCUUCCUCACAAGGAUAGAUACCUAUUCUUGGUAUGAGUUUGUCUUUCCCGUCCAUAGAGCCUCAGCCAGUACCACUAUCUGGGGGCUUCCUGAAUGCUCGAUAUUAGGCACAAAACCCAACACAGCACAGUUAUAUGACAAGGGGGUCCACUUUACAGUGAAAGAGGUGCAGGAGUGGGUCAUUGAUCAUGAGAUCCAUUGUUCACAUCACAUUCUGCCCCAUCCAGAAGCAGCUGGCUUCAUAGAACUCUGCAGCAGCCUUCUAAAGGCACAGAUGAGGUGCCAGAAUAGAGGUUAACAUUUUCAAAAGAUGGAAUGCCAUCUUUCAGGAAGCAGUUUAGAUAUUAAGCCAGAAAUCUCUAUAUGGUGCUGGGUUCCCAGUAAGAAUACAUGGGCUAGGAACCAAGAGGCGGAAGCAGGAGUGGCUCCAUUUGCCACCAUCCCAGUGCCUCACUGGGGGAUAUUGUGCAUCUCUCCCCUGCAGCUUUUGGCUCUGCAGGGUUCUAGGUCCUAGCUCUCAAAAAGGGUGCACUCAUGCCAGAGUCCACAGCAAGGGUCUCAUUGAAUUACACACUACCUUUGCUGCCAGGGCACUUUGACUCCUUGUGUCCAAGGGCUAGCAGGAAAGAAGAGGAGUCUCUGCCAUGGCAGGUGCAAUUUGUCCUGAACAACAGGAGAAGAUAGACCAAAACCCAAACCCAUUGCUCUUGGGUCAAUUCUGACUCGUAAUGACACUGUAGUCAGAGUAGAACUGCCCCAUACAGUUUCCAAGGAGUGGCUGGUGAAUUCAAACUGCCAGUCUUUUGGUUAGCAGCCAUAGCUGUUAACCACUGCACCACUAGGGUUCUGGGGGAGGUAGGACAGCUUUUACAAAAUGGGGCCAGGGAGGAAUAUGUGGAGAACCCAGGUGACCCACCUGGCCACCUCUUGGUACUCUUGGCUCACUGUAACCACGAAUGGACAUGUGCAACCACCCUGGGCUGUGAUGGGUAUGCUUGCCAAGGACUCGGAACCCUCAGGAAAGAAAGGUCGGGGUCACACCACCAGGUUAGCCAUCAAGUCCUGCUGAGGUGACAACUGAGAGAGCGGGGAUUUAGAAUGGAUAAUGGAGGAGGGAGAGGAUGAGUACCAGCGGGGGCCUUGAGACCAACUUUGGCAACAGGAGCUGUAGUUUGUCCCACUAGCCUUUCAGGAAGGGAGGUUUACGGGAGCUAUGGAGAAGCUGCUUCCCAUACCUACAUGAAAAAGUAAGUAAAGCAGACCUGGGAGGCACAAGGGAUGAACCAGCAGCCUUGAAAAUGCAAGUUCAGAUGUCCCGCUGAGGGGAGUGUGGUUGACUGAUGGCCCCAGCUGCUGCCCAUGUUUGUGCCGAGGUUCCUUACAGGCUGUUUCCAGCCAUUGGCUGAGCAAGUGGGGUACCAAAUCAGGCCCAUUCCUGUGAGAUACUGGACUCCUCAGACAGGCAACUUUGACUCGAUGACACCCCAAUGGCUGAAGCUUUCUUAGAACUCGCCUGUAGUCUAGACUGCUGACACACGUCUUCCUUCCUCUUUCCUUCACAGGGCCAGACCUGCCUUGUACUCUGAAGGUGCUCCCCACUCUCUUCCAACUCCUCCCUCAAUAGUUCACAAGCAUUUCCCCCAAUGAACCUCUUGCAUCUCUAAUCCAGUCUUGGGGAAUGCGAACUAAUGGAUGCUGUUUGGAUUGAAGAGCUCUACUGUUGAGCCAUUUCUCAAGAGGGUGAGGGUACAUAAAAAAGUUUUAAAACAUUAGACUAAAAGGCAGUCUUUAAAAUGAAGUCAAUCUAGAUUUAUGAAAAUUUAGUACCUUGUCCUCAUUUUUCUUGCUUUGCUACAGAUUACUGAAAAAAGAUCAGUUAUAGACGGUAGACUGGGAAUCAUUUGCAGCCUGGCAUUUGGGAACCACGGGUAUGAAAAAAUCACCCCCCUGGUUUCCCCCACCGUAGUUGCAUUCUUUCCAGUGAGAUCCCCUUGUACUAGGUUUGCAUUUGUAUUAUGGGAUGGGUCUUAUUACCAGAUGCCUUUGAGUCAGUUCUGAUUCAUGGUGACCCCAUGUGUGUCAGAGUAGAACUGUGCUCCAUUGGGUUUUCAAUGGCUGAUUUUUCAGAAGUAGAUCACCGGGGCUUUCUACCAAAAUGCCUCUGGGUGGACUCAAACCACUAAUCAUUUGGUUAGAAGCUGAGCAUCUCAACUGUUUGCACCACCCAGGGAUUCCUGGGAAGGGUCUUAUUCAAGUUUCAAUGCCCUAACACACUAACAUAAUGGUCGGUAAAUGCCUAUUGUAAAAGGGACUUCAUUCUCAUGGAACGAUGUGGAUGCAGUGAGCCCCCUCUGGCUCAGGAUCCCCCCACCCCCACCCCAGGGAGUUGUUGCUGCCUCAGCGUGGUGCUCAUUUCCUGUGAUCAGUAGUCAGGUGCUCUGAAGUCUGAUGGACCACGUUGGUGCUGUCUUUUGGAAUUAAUCAAACCUUUAAUACCCUGCUUUAAUAGUUUAUUUUUAACUAUGGAAAUACCAGCCUUGUAAGAAAAUAUUUCUGAAGGGAAAACUAAAAACAGCUUAAACUUUUCUCUGUAAAGUUUUUCCGGGUGAGCAAUGUUUUCAACUUAGAAUGCUCCCUUGUAAUUAUGCCUCUGUCUGUAUUUGUGCUUUCCUUUUGCUUGACUUCUAUUCUGUUUACUCAGCAGUUAAGAGCCAUGCCACAUAGCGAUCAGCUGACAGAAAGACAUUGUCAUGAUGUGCUUGUUGUUGUUAGGUGCCCUUGAGUUUCAGUUCCAACUCAUGGCGAUGCUAUAUACAACAGAACAAAACACUGCCCAGGUCCUGUGCCAUUCUCACAAUCGUUGCUAUGUUUGAGCCCAUUGUUGCAGCCACCGUGUCAGUUCAUCUCCUUGGGGGCCUUCCUCUUUUCCGCUGGCCCUCCACUUUACCAAGCAUGAUAUCCUCCUCCAGGGACUAGUCCCUCCUGAUAACGUGUCCAAAGUAUGAGAGACGAAGUCUCGCCGUCCUAGCCCUGAAGGAGGAUUCUGGCUGUACUUCUUUCAAGAGAGGUUUGUUCUUUCUUCUGGCAGUCAUUGGGAUGGUCAGUAUUCUUCACCAACAGCAUAAGUCAAAUGCAUCAAUUCUUCUUUGGUCUUCCUUAUUCAUUGUCCAGGGAAACCCUGGUGGUGUAAUGGUGAAGUGCUAUAGCUGCUAACCAAAGGUUGGCAGUUCGAAUCCACCAGACCCUCCUUGGAAACCCUACGGGGCAGUUCUACUCUGUCCUGUAGAGUCGCUAUGAGCCGGAAUC